Y RNA from Callithrix jacchus (white-tufted-ear marmoset), 113 nucleotides. It matches the Rfam family "Y RNA". Rfam says of the family: Y RNAs are components of the Ro ribonucleoprotein particle (Ro RNP), in association with Ro60 and La proteins. The Y RNAs and Ro60 and La proteins are well conserved, but the function of the Ro RNP is not known. In humans the RNA component can be one of four small RNAs -- hY1, hY3, hY4 and hY5. The record is from Ensembl. Lineage: Eukaryota; Metazoa; Chordata; Mammalia; Primates; Cebidae.
GGCUGGAGUGAAAGUAGUAAGUUAUCUCAAUUGAUUGUUCACAGUCAGUUACAAAUUGAACUCCUUUUUCUACUGUUUCCCCUCUUUUCACUACUGAACUUGACUAGUCCAAA